AGUUACCAGCACGGUUAUGGUGGGCACUCUAAGGAGACUGCCGGUGACAAACCGGAGGAAGUGGGGAUGACGUCAAGUCAUCAUGGCCCUUACGGCCUGGGCUACACACGUGCUACAAUGGUCGGUACAAAGGGUUGCCAAGCCGCGAGGUGGAGCUAAUCCCAUAAAACCGAUCGUAGUCCGGAUCGCAGUCUGCAACUCGACUGCGUGAAGUCGGAAUCGCUAGUAAUCGUGAAUCAGAAUGUCACGGUGAAUACGUUCCCGGGCCUU
Molecule: ribosomal RNA, 270 nt
Filed under: uncultured Pseudomonas sp.
Lineage: Bacteria; Pseudomonadati; Pseudomonadota; Gammaproteobacteria; Pseudomonadales; Pseudomonadaceae
Description: partial 16S ribosomal RNA
Rfam family: Bacterial small subunit ribosomal RNA
Source: RNAcentral